CUGAGUUAGGGUCCUCUGGGCCCGAACCUCCAACCCUUUGUUUAAACCACUUUGUUGCUUUGGCAGGCCCGACCUCCGGGUCCGCUGGGGGCGUUCAAUCGCCUCUGGUCAGCGCUUGCCAAUAGCCUAUUCAAAUUCUUCUUUAACCAUGAAGUCUGAAUCAUAAUUAUAAAUAUAAUUA
This 181-nucleotide unclassified non-coding RNA is filed under the name uncultured Eurotiomycetes. RNAcentral's name for it is "sequence contains ITS1". The record is from RNAcentral. Lineage: Eukaryota; Fungi; Ascomycota; Eurotiomycetes.